Molecule: ribosomal RNA, 162 nt
Filed under: Acinetobacter baumannii
Lineage: Bacteria; Pseudomonadati; Pseudomonadota; Gammaproteobacteria; Moraxellales; Moraxellaceae
Description: partial 23S ribosomal RNA
Rfam family: Bacterial large subunit ribosomal RNA (bases 1-144)
Source: RNAcentral
GGGAAGCCUACCUCAAGAUAAGAUUUCCCUAGGACUUUAUGUCCUCUAAAGAGCCGUUCGAGACUAGGACGUUGAUAGGUUGGAUGUGGAAGCAUAGUGAUAUGUGAAGCUGACCAAUACUAAUUGCUCGUGAGGCUUGACUAUACAACACCCAAGCAGUUG